Molecule: transfer RNA, 74 nt
Filed under: Cordylochernes scorpioides
Lineage: Eukaryota; Metazoa; Arthropoda; Arachnida; Pseudoscorpiones; Chernetidae
Description: tRNA-Thr
Source: RNAcentral
UGUCAAGGGAUGGGAAUCGAACCCACGACCUUCCGCUUACCGGGCAGAUGCCAUGACCAUAGGCUACCCUGGAC